Molecule: transfer RNA, 68 nt
Filed under: Hydropsyche angustipennis
Lineage: Eukaryota; Metazoa; Arthropoda; Insecta; Trichoptera; Hydropsychidae
Description: tRNA-Met
Rfam family: tRNA
About the family: Transfer RNA (tRNA) molecules are approximately 80 nucleotides in length. Their secondary structure includes four short double-helical elements and three loops (D, anti-codon, and T loops).
Source: RNAcentral
AAAAAAAUAAGCUAACAAAGCUAAUGAAUUCAUACUUCAUUUAUAAAGGUCAAAUCCUUUUUUUUUUA